CUACGUAGGGUGCGAGCGUUGUCCGGAAUUACUGGGCGUAAAGAGCUCGUAGGUGGUUUGUCGCGUCGUCUGUGAAAUUCCGGGGCUUAACUCCGGGCGUGCAGGCGAUACGGGCAUAACUUGAGUACUGUAGGGGAGACUGGAAUUCCUGGUGUAGCGGUGAAAUGCGCAGAUAUCAGGAGGAACACCGGUGGCGAAGGGGGGUCUCUGGGCAGUAACUGACGCUGAGGAGCGAAAGCAUGGGUAGAGAACAGGAUUAGAUACCCUGGUAGUCCAUGCCGUAAACGGUGGGCGCUAGGUGUAGGGGUCUUCCACGACUUCUGUGCCGUAGCUAACGCAUUAAGCGCCCCGCCUGGGGAGUACGGCCGCAAGGCUAAAACUCAAAUGAAUUGACGGGG
RNAcentral lists this ribosomal RNA (398 nucleotides) under uncultured bacterium. Its description in RNAcentral is "partial 16S ribosomal RNA". It matches the Rfam family "Bacterial small subunit ribosomal RNA", at positions 523 to 918 of the family's 1533-position model. The record is from RNAcentral.